AUAGAUCCGUAACUUCGGGAAAAGGAUUGGCUCUAAGGGUUGGGUGCGUUGGGCCUUAGUAAGAUGCACCGGGACCCGAAUGGGACUGCUUAGGGGGCAACUUCUUUGUGGACCCGUUCAGGACCUGGUUGCGGAAGACUUUGGCUGCCUCUCGGGGCGUCUGGCGCACGCUUAACAACCAACUUAGAACUGGUACGG
This 198-nucleotide ribosomal RNA is filed under the name Hypholoma fasciculare. RNAcentral describes it as "partial 25S large subunit ribosomal RNA". It matches the Rfam family "Eukaryotic large subunit ribosomal RNA", at positions 1922 to 2122 of the family's 3401-position model. The record is from RNAcentral. Lineage: Eukaryota; Fungi; Basidiomycota; Agaricomycetes; Agaricales; Strophariaceae.